This 408-nucleotide ribosomal RNA is filed under the name uncultured bacterium. RNAcentral's name for it is "bacterial SSU rRNA". It matches the Rfam family "Bacterial small subunit ribosomal RNA", at positions 509 to 916 of the family's 1533-position model. The record is from RNAcentral.
CAGCAGCCGCGGUAAUACAGAGGGUGCAAGCGUUAAUCGGAUUUACUGGGCGUAAAGCGUGCGUAGGCGGUUCGUUAAGUCGAUUGUGAAAGCCCUGGGCUUAACCUGGGAAUUGCAGUCGAUACUGGCGGACUAGAGAACGGUAGAGGGAGGCGGGACUCCAGGUGUAGCGGUGAAAUGCGUAGAUAUCUGGAAGAACACCGAUGGCGAAGGCAACCUCCUGGGCCUGUUCUGACGCUGAGGCACGAAAGCGUGGGUAGCAAACAGGAUUAGAUACCCUGGUAGUCCACGCUGUAAACGAUGAGAACUUGACGUCGGGUCGCUUAGCGAUUCGGUGUCGAAGCUAACGCGCUAAGUUCUCCGCCUGGGGAGUACGGCCGCAAGGUUGAAACUCAAAGGAAUUGACGG